Molecule: long non-coding RNA, 2271 nt
Organism: Sus scrofa (pig)
Lineage: Eukaryota; Metazoa; Chordata; Mammalia; Artiodactyla; Suidae
Source: RefSeq, a predicted model, not a curated record
UAUAGCUGGCAUUUGCCUUUGGCCUACCAUGACCUGACUCUAAAGUCUGAAUCAUAGCAUCCUUUUGGCCUUAAGUUUCCAUCCUAAUGGAACAUUCUCUUCACAUAAGUUUUCCCAUUUGUCAGUCCAAAUUCCUGGAAAGGACUCCACCUGGCACGGCUCAUCUUUUGAGCCAGGUUGUGCUGGUCACAUCCUCACUCACAUGACCAGUGACCUUUGGUUUGAUGCUUUUUUCCUGUCUAAUCAACUAUUGUCCUGGGAUGAAUUGUGACUUGGGAGACAGGUGACUUCUGUGCAGUGACAGGGGCUUCAGGAGGAAACUGGGGGGGAGGGUAAGGAAUGCACAUGUGAUACUUCUCCCCCCACCCCACCCACUAACCAGGUGAAUGAGACAUGAAGGACCUUGGCAGUGGGGUUCAAAAGUUUGGUCACUGAGAGCUGAGAUGGAGACGAAGUUUAUGUUACAUUAUCAUGACCCUAAUCUUCAAUGCACGUCGAUGCACCCUGCACUUCAAUGCAGGCUGGGGUGGCCUGGAAGAUGGGGCUGCAGUUACUGACUUCCGAGAGGUCACAGAAGAUCCAGGCUGGAAGGGACUUCAGGGACCACCCUACCCAUCGGUUCUCAGCCCCACUGCCCAUGAGGAUCCCUGGGGAGCUUUUGCAAACUUAAGCCCCUGGGGCCCCACCUCAGGGAUACUGAUGUAAAUAUCCUCAGAUGCUUUUAGUGCCCCCAAGACCUACUGCUCUCACUUGACCCUCUUCAUUUUACAGGUGGUGAAACAUCAGCUCGGCGGCAUAAUGUGACCAUGACUCACUUGAAGAUUCCAAUUCUAACUCCAAGACAGAUCCCAGGUUAGGGCUGGCAGGGAUCACAGAAGCCAUGCAAUCCAACCCCACUCUCACUUGAGCCUAAGCAGCAGCUAUGUGACUUGUCCAAGGAGUCAUGGCCACACAGGGGGGCUAGAACUCUUAACCUCUGCUUAUAACACUGAGGCUAGAGGACCAAAAGGACCAGAUGGGAGGGAAGCAGACCCAGCUGCAGACCUGCACUUGCUCUGCACCAGGGCGCCUCUCCAGCAGUACGGCUGGAACAGUUUGGCAGAGGAGCUUGGACAUAAACAGACGUGGAGCUGGCUCUGGCAAAGAAAUCAGCACUUGGGUGCCCUGAGGAUGGGGAGGAGGCUAAUCCUUGUUUUUUUGCCUGUCUCCCAAUUAUGCUGGGUGAGUGUGUGUAUGUGCGUGUGUGUGUGUGUGUGCUCCUGAUCAACUGACAGCUGGGUUGGAGCCCGGAUUGCAGUGUGCUCAAAGACUGCCUCCUGGGUAUCUGCGGCACUGUGAUUUUUGUUGAGUUGGACUGUAAGGUUCCUGCUGGGAUGAUCGCACACCUGUUUUCGAGGCUACAUGUCCAGCUUCUGUGGCACCAUCUCUACACUCACUCAGGCCUGACGGCUUCUCUGGGCUCAAGGGGUGGGCAGGGCCCUGUUUCCACCCACAUGGACCCUCCCACCCCCCGCUGCUACGGCCCUCUCCAUCACUGACCUACUGCAGAACCAUCAGGGAGAACUGGCCCUUGGUGCCAGGGAGAAAUCCCCUUGGUGCGAUGGAGACCAAGGACUGGCCAUCUCCUCCUCCGCCCCUCUGGUCCCCUGUGUCACCCAUCGUGAGGUUCCAGAGGCCUUACAGUCUAGCACGAGGGACAUGAGAGUGCUUGGGUCACUGCAGACUAAGACUUUCUGCCUCAGUUCUUUGGCCGCAUCUUUCAUGACUCAGCUCCAAUGUCAUGUCAUGUCUGUGGUGUGGCUUUCCCCUAGGCCCACAGCCAGAAGUCUCACUGCACCAACUUCUCUCUAAUUGAGCUCUCAGAUAAGUUCCUUUCCUCUGGCCACCUCAGUUUCUUCAUCUGCGAAAUGGAGAUACUGUUACCAAACUCAUCUCACAGGACAUUGGGAAGAUCCAUGAUAAGCCCAUGGAUGGAAGAGCCCAGUUCCUCUGCCCUUGCCCCCCCCCCUUGCCAUGCAGCGGAGAUGGGGAGACACCCUGAGUGAGCUGACUGCCCAUCUGUCCACAAAGCUGAUAAAACCAAGCUCUUUCCAGGAUGGCCAUUUCCUCCUCCCUACCCAUGGAAUUCCUAUUCAGCCUUCGAGGACCAGCUCAAAUGUCAUCUCUCCUUCGAAGCCUUCCUGCGGUCCCCAGAGAAAGCACAUUUUCCUCUCCCUUGCGCUCCUCUAAUUCUUCAUUCCCAUUAAAUCUCUUGUUUCCUUUUAACUUUUA